CUGGAGGGGUGCGAGAAUGGGCAUUGCAUUGUAAAAUCGGAUGAAGGGUUUCGAGUUCUGGAGUUGGGCCACAACAUAUCAUUAGGGAAAGGAGUUGAAUC
Long non-coding RNA from Telopea speciosissima, 101 nucleotides. RefSeq lists it as uncharacterized. The transcript has 4 exons. NCBI's taxonomy places the organism in Eukaryota, Viridiplantae, Streptophyta, Magnoliopsida, Proteales, Proteaceae. The record is from RefSeq and is a predicted model, not a curated record.